RNAcentral lists this long non-coding RNA (1458 nucleotides) under Mus musculus (house mouse). RNAcentral describes it as "long non-coding RNA chr10:39962698-39964156". Lineage: Eukaryota; Metazoa; Chordata; Mammalia; Rodentia; Muridae. The record is from RNAcentral.
UGGGUGGAUAUGGGGGACUUUUGGUAUAGCAUUGGAAAUGUAAAUGAGUUAAAUACCUAAUAAAAAAUGGAAAAAAAAAUAAAAUAAAAGAAGUAAAAAAAAAAAAAAAAAAAAAAAAAAAAAAAAAAAAAAGAAAAAAGCUAACCAGCUCAAACUUGAGGGUAGAAGCUCAAACUUGGGGGUAGAAACUCUUGCGAACCGCCCAGGUUAUCUAGGGAACGGAGGGAGGCCAGAGGUGCUGCCUUUUAUAUGACAUUCCGAAAUUCCUGUGUGUCCUUGCAUUGACCAUACCUGAUAUUUCUUGGCCUGUCUUUCUAUUCACUGUCCACAAAUAUUUUUUGAAUGUGAUUUGUAAGUUUUUAUGUGUACUAUCUCACAACAAACAUCCUAAUUGUACCUUAACCCUAUUUACAGAUAGAAAAAAAUUAGGGCAUAAAUAAAUAAUAUAGAAUAACUUGUCAAGUACCAGAUAGCAAGUCACUGGCUAUAUAUUUCAACUCUUGGUUUUAUUAUUAUUGAGUGGCUGACAGGACAACUUGAACCAAAUAUGAAGCAAACUUUAAAUACUGGCCAGGAUGAUAGACUCUGGUCAAGCCCGCCUCUGGGUUCCCAGGAAAUGGCCACACAUCAUGUUUUGCAGAGGCUUAAAAAACUCACAUUCGUCCCAUUUCCCAUGAGGUCCAAUCAGGUCCAAGCAUACAUUCUGACUUAUUUCUUGACUAACUUACUUCUCACAUAAAUCCAGUCAGGGGCAAACGUACAUCCUAACACAUUUCCUUUAUCCCUGUGUCCUACCCACAUCCAGUCAGGGCCAGUAUAAAUUCUGAUGUUUUCCUGCGCAUGUCCCUCCCUCCAACAUGUGGCCAAGCACAUCCUGAACAGAUGGAUCAAGCAAACAUAGGGCAAACUGGAAUGUAAUUUAACUGCCUCACCUGCAGACAGAACCUGUAACCCACAAGGACUCAUUUUCCUGCUUUGGUCUCCCAUUAACUUGCAAAAUGUAUUGUUCUUGUCCCUGUUUUGGUCUCACAACAUAAGAGUUUUAUCAGGCAGGUGUGUGUGUUCACACAUGUGGGCAUACAUUCGAGGUAUGCGCUUGUGUGUGAGGAGGCCAGACACCUUCUACCAUAGCUUUUCUCAUCUGAACUCAGGUCACUGGGCACACUGGCAUGUAGCUCAUUUGUUGGAGCUAGUCUGGCUGGUCGCCUUGAUCCAGAGAUUCUCUGCUUGGACUGGAGCUACACAGGUGGACUGCAAUCACUCAGCUUCUAAAAGUUGAUUUUAAUUUUUAAAGUUUUAUUUUUAGCAGGUCAUGGUGGGACAUGCCUUUAAUCCCUGCAGAGACAGGAAGAUCUCUGUGAAUUUGAGGUCAGCCUGGUUUACAAAAUGAGUUUCAGGGUAGCCAGGGCUGUUACAUAGAGAAACAAACAAAAAAACAAAAACAAAAACAAAAAACAG